UCUUAGGUAGCUCAAUGGUGGAGCAACCGGCUGUUAACCGGUAGGUUGUGGGUUCGAAUCCCACCCUGAGAGCCA
Molecule: transfer RNA, 75 nt
Filed under: Tissierella sp.
Lineage: Bacteria; Bacillati; Bacillota; Tissierellia; Tissierellales; Tissierellaceae
Description: tRNA-Asn
Rfam family: tRNA
About the family: Transfer RNA (tRNA) molecules are approximately 80 nucleotides in length. Their secondary structure includes four short double-helical elements and three loops (D, anti-codon, and T loops).
Source: RNAcentral